AAUAAGAUGCCUGAAAAAAAGGAUUAUUUUGAUAGAAUAAAUUAUGCAAUUAUUGUUCUUAUUA
This 64-nucleotide transfer RNA is filed under the name Atkinsoniella curvata. Its description in RNAcentral is "tRNA-Ile". Lineage: Eukaryota; Metazoa; Arthropoda; Insecta; Hemiptera; Cicadellidae. The record is from RNAcentral.